AGCGAACGCUGGCGGCAGGCUUAACACAUGCAAGUCGAGCGGGCACUUCGGUGUCAGCGGCAGACGGGUGAGUAACACGUGGGAACGUACCCUUCGGUUCGGAAUAACGCUGGGAAACUAGCGCUAAUACCGGAUACGCCCUUUUGGGGAAAGGUUUACUGCCGAAGGAUCGGCCCGCGUCUGAUUAGCUAGUUGGUGGGGUAAUGGCCUACCAAGGCGACGAUCAGUAGCUGGUCUGAGAGGAUGAUCAGCCGCACUGGGACUGAGACACGGCCCAGACUCCUACGGGAGGCAGCAGUGGGGAAUAUUGGACAAUGGGCGCAAGCCUGAUCCAGCCAUGCCGCGUGAGUGAUGAAGGCCUUAGGGUUGUAAAGCUCUUUUGUCCGGGACGAUAAUGACGGUACCGGAAGAAUAAGCCCCGGCUAACUUCGUG
Molecule: ribosomal RNA, 433 nt
Filed under: uncultured bacterium
Lineage: Bacteria
Description: partial 16S ribosomal RNA
Rfam family: Bacterial small subunit ribosomal RNA
Source: RNAcentral